AUUGAACGCUGGCGGCAUGCCUUACACAUGCAAGUCGAACGGUAACGGGUCCUUCGGGAUGCCGACGAGUGGCGAACGGGUGAGUAAUAUAUCGGAACGUGCCCAGUAGUGGGGGAUAACUGCUCGAAAGAGCAGCUAAUACCGCAUACGACCUGAGGGUGAAAGGGGGGGAUCGCAAGACCUCUCGCUAUUGGAGCGGCCGAUAUCAGAUUAGCUAGUUGGUGGGGUAAAGGCCUACCAAGGCAACGAUCUGUAGUUGGUCUGAGAGGACGACCAGCCACACUGGGACUGAGACACGGCCCAGAGUCCUACGGGAGGCAGCAGUGGGGAAUUUUGGACAAUGGGCGCAAGCCUGAUUCAGCAAUGCCGCGUGCAGGAAGAAGGCCUUCGGGUUGUAAACUGCUUUUGUACGGAACGAAAAGCCCCGGGUUAAUACCCUGGGGUCAUGACGGUACCGUAAGAAUAAGCACCGGCUAACUACGUGCCAGCAGCCGCCGUAA
This 500-nucleotide ribosomal RNA is filed under the name uncultured bacterium. RNAcentral's name for it is "partial 16S ribosomal RNA". It matches the Rfam family "Bacterial small subunit ribosomal RNA", at positions 30 to 523 of the family's 1533-position model. The record is from RNAcentral.